Small nucleolar RNA from Echinops telfairi (small Madagascar hedgehog), 122 nucleotides. Lineage: Eukaryota; Metazoa; Chordata; Mammalia; Afrosoricida; Tenrecidae. The record is from Ensembl.
UGGUCAUUACAAAGGCUUUUUACAAUGCAGUUUCUGACUUGCUGUGGACAUGACCAUAAAAAAUUUCCCAGGUUUUGGGUCCUCUUGCUACCUUGCUAGCAUACAACCAAUUGGUGACAUCA